Molecule: long non-coding RNA, 234 nt
Filed under: Erythranthe guttata (spotted monkey flower)
Lineage: Eukaryota; Viridiplantae; Streptophyta; Magnoliopsida; Lamiales; Phrymaceae
Description: long non-coding RNA (EGUT_LNC000854)
Source: RNAcentral
GCUCCCGUAGUUAUUUUGCUUCGAGGCGUCUCUUCCUUUGAGGCAGCUCUGGGACUCCACCGCUACCUUGAAGCGAGUGGUUGGGAUCGCCUUGAUCCUCUUCGUUGGCCUCUCUCGUAGUUAUUUUGGUUCGAGGCGGCUCGCCUUGAUCCUCUUCGUUGGCCUCUCUCGUAGUUCUUUUGGUUCGAGGCGGCUCUAAGACUCUACCGCUCUUCGAGGCGGCUCUGAGACUCC